This 447-nucleotide ribosomal RNA is filed under the name uncultured bacterium. RNAcentral's name for it is "bacterial SSU rRNA". It matches the Rfam family "Bacterial small subunit ribosomal RNA", at positions 355 to 825 of the family's 1533-position model. The record is from RNAcentral.
UCGGGAAUUUUGGGCAAUGGGCGAGAGCCUGACCCAGCAACGCCGCGUGAAGGAUGAAGUAUUUCGGUAUGUAAACUUCGAAAGAAUAGGAAGAAUAAAUGACGGUACUAUUUAUAAGGUCCGGCUAACUACGUGCCAGCAGCCGCGGUAAUACGUAGGGACCAAGCGUUGUUCGGAUUUACUGGGCGUAAAGGGCGCGUAGGCGGCUUGACAAGUCACUUGUGAAAUCUCUGGGCUUAACCCAGAACGGCCAAGUGAUACUGUCGCGCUAGAGUGCAGAAGGGGCAAUCGGAAUUCUUGGUGUAGCGGUGAAAUGCGUAGAUAUCAAGAGGAACACCUGAGGUGAAGACGGGUUGCUGGGCUGACACUGACGCUGAGGCGCGAAAGCCAGGGGAGCAAACGGGAUUAGAUACCCCGGUAGUCCCUGAGCGGGCUGGCAAGGCGCAU